UGAGGAAUAUUGGGCAAUGCCCGCAAGGGUGACCCAGCAACGCCGCGUGGAGGAUGAAUGUCGUAAGAUUGUAAACUCCUGUUAGAGGGGAAGAAUAGUACCGGUUGGACCGGUAUAUGACUGUACCCUCAGAGAAAGCCCCGGCUAACUACGUGCCAGCAGCCGCGGUAAUACGUAGGGGGCAAGCGUUGUCCGGAUUUACUGGGUGUAAAGGGCGCGCAGGCGGGAUAAAAAGUCAGUGGUGAAAUCCUACAGCUUAACUGUAGAACUGCCUUUGAUACUUUUAUUCUUGAGUUCGGGAGAGAGAGACGGAAUUCCAGGUGUAGUGGUGAAAUACGUAGAUAUCUGGAAGAACACCAGUUGCGAAGGCGGUCUCUUGGUCCGACACUGACGCUGAGGCGCGAAAGCGUGGGGAGCAUACA
Molecule: ribosomal RNA, 422 nt
Filed under: uncultured bacterium
Lineage: Bacteria
Description: bacterial SSU rRNA
Rfam family: Bacterial small subunit ribosomal RNA
Source: RNAcentral